GAAGUGUGGACGCCAGUCUGCAUGGAGCCGACCUUGAAAUACCACCCUUUAAUGUUUGAUGUUCUAACGUUGGCCCCUGAUCGGGGUUGCGGACAGUGUCUGGUGGGUAGUUUGACUGGGGCGGUCUCCUCCUAAAGAGUAACGGAGGAGCACGAAGGUUGGCUAAUCCUGGUCGGACAUCAGGAGGUUAGUGCAAUGGCAUAAGCCAGCUUGACUGCGAGCGUGACGGCGCGAGCAGGUGCGAAAGCAGGUCAUAGUGAUCCGGUGGUUCUGAAUGGAAGGGCCAUCGCUCAACGGAUAAAAGGUACUCCGGGGAUAACAGGCUGAUACCGCCCAAGAGUUCAUAUCGACGGCGGUGUUUGGCACCUCGAUGUCGGCUCAUCACAUCCUGGGGCUGAAGUAGGUCCCAAGGGUAUGGCUGUUCGCCAUUUAAAGUGGUACGCGAGCUGGGUUUAGAACGUCGUGAGACAGUUCGGUCCCUAUCUGCCGUGGGCGCUGGAGAACUGAGGGGGGCUGCUCCUAGUACGAGAGGACCGGAGUGGACGCAUCACUGGUGUUCGGGUUGUCAUGCCAAUGGCACUGCCCGGUAGCUAAAUGCGGAAGAGAUAAGUGCUGAAAGCAUCUAAGCACGAAACUUGCCCCGAGAUGAGUUCUCCCUGACUCCUUGAGAGUCCUGAAGGAACGUUGAAGACGACGACGUUGAUAGGCCGGGUGUGUAAGCGCAGCGAUGCGUUGAGCUAACCGGUACUAAUGAACCGUGAGG
This 763-nucleotide ribosomal RNA is filed under the name Escherichia coli. RNAcentral's name for it is "partial 23S ribosomal RNA". It matches the Rfam family "Bacterial large subunit ribosomal RNA", at positions 2159 to 2916 of the family's 2925-position model. The record is from RNAcentral. Lineage: Bacteria; Pseudomonadati; Pseudomonadota; Gammaproteobacteria; Enterobacterales; Enterobacteriaceae.